UCCGGCGUGGUCCAGUGGCUAGGAUAUCUGGCUUUCACCCAGAGGCCCGGGUUCGAUUCCCGGCGUCGGAA
Molecule: transfer RNA, 71 nt
Filed under: Dermacentor silvarum
Lineage: Eukaryota; Metazoa; Arthropoda; Arachnida; Ixodida; Ixodidae
Description: transfer RNA glutamic acid (anticodon UUC)
Rfam family: tRNA
About the family: Transfer RNA (tRNA) molecules are approximately 80 nucleotides in length. Their secondary structure includes four short double-helical elements and three loops (D, anti-codon, and T loops). Further hydrogen bonds mediate the characteristic L-shaped molecular structure. tRNAs have two regions of fundamental functional importance: the anti-codon, which is responsible for specific mRNA codon recognition, and the 3' end, to which the tRNAs corresponding amino acid is attached (by aminoacyl-tRNA synthetases). tRNAs cope with the degeneracy of the genetic code in two manners: having more than one tRNA (with a specific anti-codon) for a particular amino acid; and 'wobble' base-pairing, i.e. permitting non-standard base-pairing at the 3rd anti-codon position.
Source: RNAcentral